This 83-nucleotide non-coding RNA is filed under the name human gut metagenome. Its description in RNAcentral is "Glycine riboswitch". It matches the Rfam family "Glycine riboswitch aptamer", at positions 9 to 86 of the family's 94-position model. From Rfam's summary of the family: This family represents the bacterial glycine riboswitch. The record is from RNAcentral. RNAcentral also lists the same sequence under 1 other name.
GAAUCUCUGGAGAGUCUCUGAAAAAGAGCGCCGAAGGUGUAAGACGGCAGGAGCUGUUGAUCUCUCAGGCAAAAGGACAGGGC